RNAcentral lists this non-coding RNA (132 nucleotides) under Oscillochloris trichoides. RNAcentral's name for it is "SAM-I sequence". It matches the Rfam family "SAM riboswitch aptamer (S box leader)". From Rfam's summary of the family: The SAM riboswitch is found upstream of a number of genes which code for proteins involved in methionine or cysteine biosynthesis in Gram-positive bacteria. The SAM riboswitch acts at the level of transcription termination control. The predicted structure consists of a complex stem-loop region followed by a single stem loop terminator region. Lineage: Bacteria; Bacillati; Chloroflexota; Chloroflexia; Chloroflexales; Oscillochloridaceae. RNAcentral also lists the same sequence under 1 other name. The record is from RNAcentral.
ACCUCAUCGAGAUGGGCAGAGGGACUGGCCCGAUGAAGCCCGGCAACCGCCUGAUGGUAGCCAAUAUCUACCAUAUCCAGUACGGUGCUAAUUCCUGCGCUGGGCUUAUGUAUGCCCAUCGAAAGAUGAGAG